AUACGUAGGGGGCGAGCGUUGUCCGGAAUGAUUGGGCGUAAAGGGCGCGUAGGCGGCCCGGUAAGUCUGGAGUGAAAGUCCUGUUUUUAAGAUGGGAAUUGCUUUGGAUACUGUCGGGCUUGAGGGCAGGAGAGGUAAGUGGAAUUCCCAGUGUAGCGGUGAAAUGCGUAGAGAUUGGGAGGAACACCAGUGGCGAAGGCGACUUACUGGACUGUAACUGACGCUGAGGCGCGAAAGUGUGGGGAGCAAACAGGAUUAGAUACCCUGGUAGUCCACACUGUAAACGAUGAAUGCUAGGUGUAGGGGGUAUCGACCCCUUCUGUGCCGCAGUCAACACAAUAAGCAUUCCGCCUGGGGAGUACGGCCGCAAGGUUGAAACUCAAAUGAAUUGACGGGG
RNAcentral lists this ribosomal RNA (397 nucleotides) under uncultured bacterium. RNAcentral's name for it is "partial 16S ribosomal RNA". It matches the Rfam family "Bacterial small subunit ribosomal RNA", at positions 523 to 918 of the family's 1533-position model. The record is from RNAcentral.